Molecule: small nuclear RNA, 102 nt
Organism: Meriones unguiculatus (Mongolian gerbil)
Lineage: Eukaryota; Metazoa; Chordata; Mammalia; Rodentia; Muridae
Source: RefSeq, a predicted model, not a curated record
UUGCUUUAGCAGCACAUAUAUUAAAAUUGGAACAAUACACACAGGGUUACCUUGCCCCUGCGCAAGGAUGAAAUGGAAAUUUGUGAAACAUUCCACAUUUUU